UGGGGAAUCUUGCACAAUGGGCGAAAGCCUGAUGCAGCAACGCCGCGUGCGGGAAGACAGCCCUAGGGUUGUAAACCGCUUUCAGCAGGGAAGAAACUGACGGUACCUGCAGAAGAAGAUGCGGCCAACUACGUGCCAGCAGCCGCGGUGACACGUAGGCAUCAAGCGUUAUCCGGAUUUAUUGGGCGUAAAGAGCUCGUAGGCGGUUCGGUAAGUCGGGUGUGAAAACUCUGGGCUCAACCCAGAGAGGCCACUCGAUACUGCUGUGACUAGAGUGCGGUAGGGGAGCGGGGAAUUCCUGGUGUGAGCGGUAGAAUGCGCAGAUAUCAGGAGGAACACCAGUGGCGAAGGCGCCGCUCUGGGCCGUAACUGACGCUGAGGAGCGAAAGCAUGGGUAGCAAACAGGAUUAGAUACCCUGGUAGUCCACGCCGUAAACGAUGUCUGCUAGUCGUUGGGGGCGUAGCCCUUCAGUGACGGCCGCUAACGCAUUAAGCAGACCGCCUGGGAGUACGGCCGCAA
This 520-nucleotide ribosomal RNA is filed under the name uncultured bacterium. Its description in RNAcentral is "bacterial SSU rRNA". It matches the Rfam family "Bacterial small subunit ribosomal RNA", at positions 355 to 891 of the family's 1533-position model. The record is from RNAcentral.